UCCUCGUUAGCUCAGUUGGUAGAGCGCUCCACUGGAAAUGGGGAGGUCUCGGUUGGAUACCAGGACCAGGCG
Non-coding RNA from Ixodes scapularis (black-legged tick), 72 nucleotides. The record is from Rfam. Lineage: Eukaryota; Metazoa; Arthropoda; Arachnida; Ixodida; Ixodidae.